AAGCUAAUGCUUUAAUUUGAGGAUGUCCUUCUCACGAGUUGAAGUUCUUUGCUUUCGUCAGUCUCAUCCCCGAAGAUGGGAGAGAGGACUCAGAGGAAGAAACAUUAGAAGCUUGAAGUGACCUAACAGACUCUUGGUCCUGAGCCUCUUCGAAGGCAGCUUUGGCUUCCUCAACCUGGUCUUUCACUUCCAUAUUAUCAUGAAGAAGCGCAUCCUUGACGAAAAAAACAGAAAAGGACAAAAAGGCAAAAUCAAGACGGGAAGAAUUCUAGAUAAAAAUAAUCCAGAAGAAGGGUCAGCAUGACUGGAGUGUAUGAAGGAUGGCACUGACUCAAGAGGUAGCUGGGCAAUGGCGCUGGGCAAAGGUUGUCUCAAGCCUUCUUCACGGCAGACAAAGAAUCUCUCUUUGUUCAGGACCGUAAGACCUUCUUUAUUCCCCCAGGGAACCAUGGAGUUGACUUUGCCCAGCUGCCUUGAGAGACAUGCGUCAUAGGUUUUUCAGGUUAGAGUCUGUGGCUCCUGAGGCACUGUGUGCCUUCCAGUUCUGGAGAAACUGAGGCACUCCUUCAGGCAGUGAAGCAUUCAGGAUGCUUUGUUUUCCUCUGCAUGUUCCCUUAGAAGGCAAGGAAGCAUGGUAGCUUGGCAGGACAAUUGGUCUUAGACAUGAAUCUUGUGUACUCUGUAAUGUUUGCAAAUAUCACCAUAUCCUGGCAACUUCAAUCGUAUUGAUCCUGGCAAUCACCACUAUAUUCUAUUUCUCACAGGGGUGUAAAAUGUCUGUUUGCUCUUAAUAAAAUUGUCACAGCCUCAGUCUUACUAUGGCCCCUCCAACUGGAACCUGUUUAACUCCUGGACUGACCAUAUCAGGUAACCCUGCCCCAGUAAGUCUCCUAUAACUCCUGCUGUGUCCUUGUAGGCUGAGGCUCCCAAAGCUAGGGCUCAGUUCUGCCCAUGGCUCCUCUGGUUCCCUCAUGACUACUCUGCUGUGCCAGGAUGCACAAUCACAGUUAGUUAUUAUCCCCACAAUGUUGUCUGUCUAUCAUCCACUCAAGCAAAUGGAUAAAUGUUGGGUGUACUUGCCAGGUGGGCUGGAAGCCUUUUAAGCUUGUUAAACAA
Molecule: long non-coding RNA, 1116 nt
Filed under: Cricetulus griseus (Chinese hamster)
Lineage: Eukaryota; Metazoa; Chordata; Mammalia; Rodentia; Cricetidae
Description: lncRNA (ENSCGRG00000025400.1)
Source: RNAcentral